UGAGUGUCAUGAAAUUCUCAACCUUUUCAGCUUUUUGUUGAAUAGGCUUGGAUUUUGGGAGUUGUUGCAGGCUGCUCAGAAGUCUGCUCUCCUUAAAUGUAUUAGCGGGGCCCUUGUUGUCUAGCAUUUGGUGUGAUAAUUAUCUACGCCAUUGUGAACAAUGUAAUAGGUCGGCUUCUAAUCGUCUCGUAAAGAGACAAUCUCUGACAUUUUGACCUCAAAUCAGGUAGGACUACCCGCUGAACUUAA
This 249-nucleotide unclassified non-coding RNA is filed under the name Tricholoma matsutake. Its description in RNAcentral is "ITS2". The record is from RNAcentral. Lineage: Eukaryota; Fungi; Basidiomycota; Agaricomycetes; Agaricales; Tricholomataceae.